This 234-nucleotide ribosomal RNA is filed under the name uncultured bacterium. RNAcentral's name for it is "partial 16S ribosomal RNA". It matches the Rfam family "Bacterial small subunit ribosomal RNA", at positions 118 to 347 of the family's 1533-position model. The record is from RNAcentral.
UGAGCAAUCUGCCCUUCUCAGCGGAAUAAGCGUUGGAAACGACGUCUAAUGCCGAAUACGACCUCCUUUCGCAUGAUCGGAGGUGGAAAGCUCCGGCGGAGAAGGAUGAGCUCGCGGCCUAUCAGCUAGUUGGUGUGGGUAAUGGCCCACCAAGGCGACGACGGGUAGCCGGCCUGAGAGGGUGACCCGGCCACACUGGGACUGAGACACGGCCCAGACCUCCGUACGGGAGCA